GCCGCUCUAGCUCAACUGGCAGAGCAACCGCCUUGUAAGCGGUAGGUUUUGGGUUCGAAUCCCAAGAGCGGCUCCA
RNAcentral lists this transfer RNA (76 nucleotides) under Gammaproteobacteria bacterium. RNAcentral's name for it is "tRNA-Thr". It matches the Rfam family "tRNA". Rfam says of the family: Transfer RNA (tRNA) molecules are approximately 80 nucleotides in length. Lineage: Bacteria; Pseudomonadati; Pseudomonadota; Gammaproteobacteria. RNAcentral also lists the same sequence under 3 other names. The record is from RNAcentral.